This 521-nucleotide ribosomal RNA is filed under the name Acaulospora longula. RNAcentral describes it as "partial small subunit ribosomal RNA". Lineage: Eukaryota; Fungi; Glomeromycota; Glomeromycetes; Diversisporales; Acaulosporaceae. The record is from RNAcentral.
AUGAGCAUCAGCUCAUAGCGUAUAUUAAAGUUGUUGCAGUUAAAAAGCUCGUAGUUGAAUUUCGGGAUUUGUCAGKUGGUCGGGCUUARCUGUCCGUAUUGACUCGAUGGAUUCUUACCUUCUGAAUAACCAGCAUGCUAUUAAUUUAGUGCGUUGGGGAAGCAGAUCUWUUACCUUGAAAAAAUUARAGUGCUUAAAGCGAGCUAGUGCUUGAAUAGAUUAGCAUGGAAUWAUAAAAUAGGRCGGYAUGGUUYUWUUUUGUUGGUUUCUAGGAYCACCGYAWUGAUUAAUAGGGAUAGUYGGGGGCAUUAGUAUUCAAUUGKCAGAGGUGAAAUUCUUGGAUUUAUUGAAGACUAACUUCUGCGAAAGCAUUUGCCAAGGAUGUUUUCAUUAAUCAARAACGAAAGUUAGGGGAUCSAARACGAUMARAUACCGUCGUAGUCUUAACCAUAAACUAUGCCGACUAGGAAUCGGACGAUGUUAAUUUUAUAAUGACUCGUUCGGCGCCUUACSGGRAAACA